Molecule: long non-coding RNA, 446 nt
Organism: Tachyglossus aculeatus (Australian echidna)
Lineage: Eukaryota; Metazoa; Chordata; Mammalia; Monotremata; Tachyglossidae
Exons: 2
Source: RefSeq, a predicted model, not a curated record
AGUCGGGAUUCGAACCCGUGACCUCUGACUCCCAAGCCUGCGCCCUUUCCACUGAGGAAGGAAGGAGGUGGUGACAAGGGCCGGGGUAGGGCCAGCGGGGAGAUGAUCGUCAUCACUGGGGGAUGUUCGUCGCUUGCUGAUAUCAAGGGCAGAGGAAAAAGGAAAAGAUGAUGGCUACACUGAGCCAAGGGGUACCGGGCUCUCUGCUGAAUAUUCAAAACCUGCAGUCCUCGCUUAGCCCCCACUCACCCGACCGUGGAAGGGAAGAAGAGAAAGCGUUGGCCCCUGCUGAAGAUGAAACUCAUCCUUUUCCUAGUCCACUCCUUACAAGUCACCAAAUCAUCACACCGCAUUUUUUAAAGCGUCUCCUCCCUUUCCCUUCGUGAUUCAGAUCUCUACAAUACGAAUAAACAACCUGUAACAGAUAUUACUACCUGUAGCUCAGA